Long non-coding RNA from Octopus bimaculoides (California two-spot octopus), 462 nucleotides. The record is from RefSeq and is a predicted model, not a curated record. NCBI's taxonomy places the organism in Eukaryota, Metazoa, Mollusca, Cephalopoda, Octopoda, Octopodidae.
GCCAUAUAUAAAGAUGUUUAUAUGAGUUUUCUGUCAUGUAUGGUCUUGGAACUAUUUUUGCCUUUAUGAAAGGAAAUAUCGAUUCGGAUUUUAAUGUGGAAGAUGCUUUUUGAAAUAGUCGUAGCUAACGGAUGACUAGAUGAUUUAUUUACGAAUGUAUGAACACAUGUUUUGAUUGCAGUCAUUGAAAACUGGAUUUUUUUUUUAGAAACUUUAGUCUCAAUUCAAUGCAAAAUUGAUUCAAGGGGGAAAUAAAUUCAGAAUAUAACUUCAGAAAUAUAAAUUGGAAUAUUGUCUUUAGUUCGAUGACACUAUUUGCACCAUGAACAAUAAUGAGUCUGUUUGGUCUGACGAAGCUCAUUCGACUUUUUUUCAAAUUUAGUUUUAGAUUAAAUUUUCAAUGUCAUUUACAUAAAUCGCUAACAUUGUAAGAGAAAUUGAUAAUAAAAAAUACAAAACUUU